RNAcentral lists this ribosomal RNA (497 nucleotides) under uncultured bacterium. RNAcentral's name for it is "partial 16S ribosomal RNA". It matches the Rfam family "Bacterial small subunit ribosomal RNA", at positions 28 to 507 of the family's 1533-position model. The record is from RNAcentral.
GAUGAACGCUGGCGGCGUGCCUAAUACAUGCAAGUCGAGCGAACAGACGAGGAGCUUGCUCCUCUGACGUUAGCGGCGGACGGGUGAGUAACACGUGGAUAACCUACCUAUAAGACUGGGAUAACUUCGGGAAACCGGAGCUAAUACCGGAUAAUAUAUUGAACCGCAUGGUUCAAUAGUGAAAGACGGUUUUGCUGUCACUUAUAGAUGGAUCCGCGCCGCAUUAGCUAGUUGGUAAGGUAACGGCUUACCAAGGCCACGAUGCGUAGCCGACCUGAGAGGGUGAUCGGCCACACUGGAACUGAGACACGGUCCAGACUCCUACGGGAGGCAGCAGUAGGGAAUCUUCCGCAAAGGGCGAAAGCCUGACGGAGCAACGCCGCGUGAGUGAUGAAGGUCUUCGGAUCGUAAAACUCUGUUAUUAGGGAAGAACAAAUGUGUAAGUAACUAUGCACGUCUUGACGGUACCUAAUCAGAAAGCCACGGCUAACUACGUG